Molecule: long non-coding RNA, 2576 nt
Filed under: Nicotiana tabacum (common tobacco)
Lineage: Eukaryota; Viridiplantae; Streptophyta; Magnoliopsida; Solanales; Solanaceae
Description: long non-coding RNA (NTAB_LNC012028)
Source: RNAcentral
CGGGGUGGGGGGAGGGUGGGGGUUGGGGGUUUGAGGGGGUGAGUGGUGCAGAAAAACGAAAAAAUAAAAAAUAAAAAAUUAAAAAUACAAUUUUUUGGGGGGUUGGGUGGGGGGGUUAGGGAGUGGAUGGUGCAGAUAAACGAAAAAACAGAAAACAGAAAAUUGAAAAUACAUUUGUUUUUGCGGGGGUUGGGUGGGUGGUAUAGAAAAAAAUUUUCUGACUAUUUUGUGCAACCAAGCAGUGAAAAAUGAGAAAAUAUUUUCAGAAAAACGUUUUCCGUCAUAUCAAACACACCCUAAAAUUUAAAUAUCUUGAUUUUCAUUUUUAAACUUAGAUACAAAAACUAAUGACAUGGCAACUAAGUAAAUUUCUAGAUAAGUUGGGUUAAAAUUUUUUUAUUUUGGGUGAGAUUCAUGGGUUGUAUUUGGGCUACUUAAUGGGUCAUAAUGGGUUAUAUAAAAUAAUAGAUUAACUUGGGCUCAGCCCAAAUAGACCCAUUAGCUAAAAUAUUAUAGCCCAACCCAUUAAUCUCUGGACGGGUUGGGCGGGUUGAUGGGUUUGGGCUCAAAUUGCCACCCGUGCUUUCAAUACACGAGACUAAGGGGUCAAACCAAAUAUCAGCAAUGAAAUGGGAUUCAACAUCAUAAACGAAGUCAAGAGAGGCAAAGCUGGUCUCAAACAUGGCCUCAAACAAUGGUUGGCCUGCUCAAAGUACACAAAAAGGUCCAAACGACAUCAAAACAAAGCUGUCAGCCAUAGCAGAAUGGUGAAAACAAACACAAAAAUGGAACCAACAGAAUCCGCAUCAUCAUCCGUCGUAGAAGGAGAAACUCGUCGGAAAAAUCAGAACCCAUGUUAUCUCAAAUAUAAACAGUGAUAAUGACUAUCGCAAAAAUUAAUAACCAGUCGAACAAUGGGUUGCCGGAAAUACACAGGGCGCCAAUGGAUGGGCCAACAGUCACAAAACUCCAUAAAACAACACACAAAAGGCUAGCAAAAACAUAAGAGUUCGCCAGAAAAGCCAUAAACUCCAGAUCCGUAAAGAACAACAACAAAAAAUCAUAAAGGGAUGAGUAAAAGAGGCCACCGGCGUUCAAUACUUCACUACCAGAUCUAAAAGUUUUGCGGCCAAACUCUGGCAAGAAGUGUCGAUUUCUCCAACCAGUGGAGUCUUCCAAAGAGAGGAAAGAGGAGAAGAUGGGAAUCACUACCUGCCGGUGGUCAACUCUGGCGGCAGCGACCUGAGCGGCAACCAUGUCUCUUCACAAUGAAGAGAGAGUUUGGAGAUGAAGAGGGAGCAGACAUGGUCUCUCAAAAAUUAGAGAUUGAGAAAGCCCCAAAAAUGGGGUGUGCGGCUAUGAGUUCUCUCAAUGGAGAGUGAGAGAUUAUUUAGGGUUUGGGUUAUAAAAAUAUGAUGUUAUAAAGUGUGAUAGUGUGUAGGUGUGGGUAUAUGUAUAUAGUGGGUGUGUAAAUAAAAGAUGUGAUUCUUAUUUUAGUAGAACGUAUAUGUAAAAUGGAAGAAAAAUAUGUGGUCAAAAUUAAAGGAGGUCAUGUCACAUCAAGUCACAUCAAUUGACUAGUCACAUCACGAUGUCUUAUCGCGUCAAUGUCAUGUCGCAUCAACGUCUUGUCACACCAGAUGUUGACGGAAUGUUCAAUUUAACCGGACUUGAUCCGUAUUUUAAAAUUAUUUCUACUGGCUUCAAUUUAACUAAACAGACCGUGCUACAAAAUAAAUAUGAUUUUUUAAUUAGAAAAUCUCAUAGUAUUUAUUUAAAAUGUAACUGCUACAAUGAUGCUGUAGUAAUUAUUAUUUUAUUUUUGAAAAGAUGAUAAUUUGAUAGAAUUUCCUAAUGUUUGAAAAAUAGGCAUUAUCAAUAAAUCGCUUAAAAGUUUAUAAAAAAGCACAAAAACUGCAGUAUUUAACUAAUUGCAACAAAAUGAUAGAAAUUUCCAUAUUUUGUGAAAUAUGAAUAAUUAUCAAUAAAUUGCAUUAAAGUUAAAUAAUGUGCAAAAAUUAUAUUUUUGAAUAAUUGCAAUAAAAUGAUAGAAAUUCCCACAUUUUAUAAAAAUAGGAAUAAUUAUCAAUAAAUUGCAUUAAUGCUAAAUAAUGUGUAAAAACUACAUUUUUAUUAUUUUUGACUAGGAAGCCUGCAGAAGUUAAUUUUUAAAUAUGGAGGGUCAAAAUUGAGUGUCAACAGCUGCCCCUCUUUGACCGGAGAUUAUGUAAGAAUCUUCGGACAAAGAAAUUGACACCACACUCAAUUUUGACCCGACAUGAAAGAGUGGGAAUGCGGAUGUUUUGAAGAUUAUGACUGAACUCUGGUAUUUGAGUUGCCUACAUAUCUCGGGUUGCACAAGAAUCUGAUCGCGUGUAGUUCUAAAAUGCAACUGAGUACUACUUAUGGAUCGUAGUCUCAUGGGGUGGAAGACGAAUGUUCGAGGACGAAAAGGUUCAUGUGAUCUCGACAUUGCUCCCAAGAUUGCCCCAGUAUCGGACUGUAAUAACACUGGGCCGUGGAUGUUAGAUGGACAUAUAGAUUGAUUGGAUGAAUUUUGAUGUAGGUACGGCCGU